Long non-coding RNA from Dermacentor silvarum, 1168 nucleotides. RefSeq lists it as uncharacterized. The record is from RefSeq and is a predicted model, not a curated record. The transcript is spliced from 4 exons. Lineage: Eukaryota; Metazoa; Arthropoda; Arachnida; Ixodida; Ixodidae.
UUGUCGUCUGUUUUGCUACCGUUCCUGUUAAUUUUGAGGCUUUCCGGCGUUCCAAGCAGCGCGGAUUUCGCAUGCUGUGGUGCUGUCGUUCGCCUCAUUGUUUUUUCUGCUUGUUUAGAAGCUUUGCGUUGCGGACAUUGCAGUGGGCCAGGGCUUGUUGACAUUUGUUGCCCAGCUGCUGUUGCUACCGCAGCAACAAGCUAAGCUGAGUGUUUCUUCUACGAGCUUCGUGCUGUUACCCGUGCUUUUGCUGAUACUUGUAGGAACAACCGCCCUGUUCGUGCGGUAUAAGUGACCUCGAAAUUCCAGUGAGCGCGAUACGAUUGCCGCAGUCUCGCAGAGAUCGCGGGAUUGUCCAUUCGUGCCUUCGAUGAGCACCGCUGCAGUUCCUACGCACUGCCCUUUGUUUUUAAACAACAGGCAGCCACAGUUGUGCUGGCAUGUCUAGCGGAGAUGUAAAAGAGGUGGCAGCUCCCACGCGCCACCACAUCCAUGUACUCAACUGUUAGUGCCCGCAUAUGCUAGCUGUGUCCACCAUUACGGAUGACUCUCUACCCAUGCGGAGGUUCUACUGAUUUCUUCGGCCUGCACCUUAUAAUGUUGGGCCCACCAGGAUCUAGCCUGUCUCUGCCUUGUUGACAACAAUUAGCCCCAAGUACUAAUUGCUGCUCAUUUGCGUAGUCCAGAAUCUGGCAUUUCAGAGGCCACGCGCAGGCUUCAUGGCAGCGGCACUAGGUGGUGCCGAGUGUUCUUGGGGAAACUUGAGAGAUUCUUAAGAGUUCUUGGAAGUUUACAAACGCAGCAAGAAAGUAAUCAGGCCUCACAAAUGCAAUGAGCCUUGGCGAAUGCAUCACUGUUGCCAUAGUGGCAUGCCAGGCCCCUUCCAAGGUCGUCAGUCAGGUCAAGGUUGGCACGCAGUGCUGCGUGCCUCUAGCCGACAAGUCUAUCGGGUGCUCCUUCAAAGCACUGAGCGUGUCGAGGAGCGUGCAGACUACAGAAGCUGUGAAUGAGUCAAGCUCGGCCUCAGGUAGGCAGUUACCGGCACUUCUCUUACUUCAGCUUGCUUGUGUGAGUUUAUGGUAAAGGGCCAAGUCUGCCUAGUACGACCUGCGCAAGUGUAUAUGACUUUCUACUGCUGAGGGAGAAGUCAGCAGGUGUGCGAUUCUUG